UGUCUUGUAAUUGGAAUGAUGGGAAUUUAAACCUCUUCCAGAGUAUCAAUUGGAGGGCAAGUCUGGUGCCAGCAGCCGCGGUAAUUCCAGCUCCAAUAGCGUAUAUUAAAAUUGUUGCAGUUAAAAAGCUCGUAGUUGAAUUUCUGCUGCAUUGCUUUUGCUCCUUUACGAGUCUUUGCAUUGUGGCUUAUUUCGGACUUUGUUUUACAAUGUCCGGAUGUUUACUUUGAGAAAAUUAGAGUGCUCAAAGCAGGCUUUCGCCUUGAAUAGUUUAGCAUGGAAUAAUAAAGUAGGACUUUGGUUCUAUUUUGUUGGUUUUAGGUACCAAAGUAAUGGUUAAUAGGAACAGUUGGGGGCAUUCGUAUUUAACUGUCAGAGGUGAAAUUCUUAGAUUUGUUAAAGACGAACUACUGCGAAAGCAUUUGCCAAGGAUGUUUUCAUUAAUCAAGAACGAAAGUUAGGGGAUCGAAGACGAUCAGAUACCGUCGUAGUCCUAACCAUAAA
This 504-nucleotide ribosomal RNA is filed under the name Theileria ovis. RNAcentral describes it as "SSU rRNA". It matches the Rfam family "Eukaryotic small subunit ribosomal RNA", at positions 499 to 1036 of the family's 1831-position model. The record is from RNAcentral. Lineage: Eukaryota; Apicomplexa; Aconoidasida; Piroplasmida; Theileriidae.